RNAcentral lists this ribosomal RNA (498 nucleotides) under uncultured bacterium. Its description in RNAcentral is "partial 16S ribosomal RNA". It matches the Rfam family "Bacterial small subunit ribosomal RNA", at positions 29 to 523 of the family's 1533-position model. The record is from RNAcentral.
AUUGAACGCUGGCGGAAUGCUUUACACAUGCAAGUCGAGCGGCAGCGCGGGGCAACCUGGCGGCGAGCGGCGAACGGGUGAGUAAUGCAUCGGAAUGUACCCAGUCGUGGGGGAUAACACAGCGAAAGUUGUGCUAAUACCGCAUACGUCCUGAGGGAGAAAGCGGGGGAUCGCAAGACCUCGCGCGAUUGGAGCAGCCGAUGUCAGAUUAGCUAGUUGGUGAGGUAAAGGCUCACCAAGGCGACGAUCUGUAGCGGGUCUGAGAGGACGACCCGCCACACUGGAACUGAGACACGGUCCAGACUCCUACGGGAGGCAGCAGUGGGGAAUUUUGGACAAUGGGCGAAAGCCUGAUCCAGCCAUUCCGCGUGAGUGAAGAAGGCCUUCGGGUUGUAAAGCUCUUUCGGCAGGAACGAAACGGUCGUCUCUAACAUAGAUGGCUAAUUACGGUACCUGAAGAAGAAGCACCGGCUAACUACGUGCCAGCAGCCGCCGUAA